ACGAACGCUGGCGGCGUGCUUCACCCAUGCCAGUCGAACGGAAAGGCCCUGCUUUUGUGGGGUGCUCGAGUGGCGAACGGGUGAGUAGCACGUGAGUAACCUGCCCUUGACUUUGGGAUAACUUCAGGAAACUGGGGCUAAUACCGGAUAGGAGCUCCUGCUGCAUGGUGGGGGUUGGAAAGUUUCGGCGGUUGGGGAUGGACUCGCGGCUUAUCAGCUUGUUGGUGGGGUAGUGGCUUACCAAGGCUUUGACGGGUAGCCGGCCUGAGAGGGUGACCGGCCACAUUGGGACUGAGAUACGGCCCAGACUCCUACGGGAGGCAGCAGUGGGGAAUAUUGCACAAUGGGCGGAAGCCUGAUGCAGCAACGCCGCGUGCGGGAUGACGGCCUUCGGGUUGUAAACCGCUUUCGCCUGUGACGAAGCGUGAGUGACGGUAAUGGGUAAAGAAGCACCGGCUAACUACGUG
Molecule: ribosomal RNA, 467 nt
Filed under: uncultured bacterium
Lineage: Bacteria
Description: partial 16S ribosomal RNA
Rfam family: Bacterial small subunit ribosomal RNA
Source: RNAcentral